GACGAACGCUGGCGGCGUGCUUAACACAUGCAAGUCGAACGCUGAAGCUCAGCUUUUGUUGGGUGGAUGAGUGGCGAACGGGUGAGUAACACGUGAGUAACCUGCCCCCUUCUUUGGGAUAACGCCCGGAAACGGGUGCUAAUACUGGAUAUUCACUGGUCUUCGCAUGGGGGUUGGUGGAAAGGGUUUUUCUGGUGGGGGAUGGGCUCGCGGCCUAUCAGCUUGUUGGUGGGGUGAUGGCCUACCAAGGCUUUGACGGGUAGCCGGCCUGAGAGGGUGACCGGGCACAUUGGGACUGAGAUACGGCCCAGACUACUACGGGAGGCAGCAGUGGGGAAUAAUGCACAAUGGGCGCAAGCCUGAUGCAGCGACGCAGCGUGAGGGAUGGAGGCCUUCGGGUUGUGAACCUCUUUCGCUCAUGGUCAAGCCGCAACAAUGGUUGUGGUGAGGGUAGUGGGUAAAGAAGCGCCGGCUAACUACGUG
This 483-nucleotide ribosomal RNA is filed under the name uncultured bacterium. RNAcentral describes it as "partial 16S ribosomal RNA". It matches the Rfam family "Bacterial small subunit ribosomal RNA", at positions 28 to 507 of the family's 1533-position model. The record is from RNAcentral.